UNCCCGGGCUCAACCUGGGAACUGCGUUNUGAACUGGGUGACUAGAGUGUGUCAGAGGGAGGUAGAAUUCCACGUGUAGCAGUGAAAUGCGUAGAGAUGUGGAGGAAUACCGAUGGCGAAGGCAGCCUCCUGGGAUAACACUGACGUUCAUGCCCGAAAGCGUGGGUAGCAAACAGGAUUAGAUACCCUAGUAGUCCACGCCCUAAACGAUGUCGAUUAGCUGUUGGGCAGCAUGACUGCUUAGUAGCGAAGCUAACGCGUGAAAUCGACCGCCUGGGGAGUACGGUCGCAAGAUUAAAACUCAAAGGAAUUGACGGGGACCCGCACAAGCGGUGGAUGAUGUGGAUUAAUUCGAUGCAACGCGAAGAACCUUACCUGGUCUUGACAUGUACGGAACCCUCCAGAGACGGAGGGGUGCCUUCGGGAGCCGUAACACAGGUGCUGCAUGGCUGUCGUCAGCUCGUGUCGUGAGAUGUUGGGUUAAGUCCCGCAACGAGCGCAACCCUUGUCAUUAGUUGCCAUCAUUAAGUUGGGCACUCUAAUGAGACUGCCGGUGACAAGCCGGAGGAAGGUGGGGAUGACGUCAAGUCCUCAUGGCCCUUAUGACCAGGGCUUCACACGUCAUACAAUGGUCGGUACAGAGGGUAGCCAAGCCGCGAGGUGGAGCCAAUCUCACAAAACCGAUCGUAGUCCGGAUUGCACUCUGCAACUCGAGUGCGUGAAGUCGGAAUCGCUAGUAAUCGCAGGUCAGCAUACUGCGGUGAAUACGUUCCCGGGUCUUGUACACACCGCCCGUCACACCAUGGGAGUGGGGGAUACCAGAAGUAGGUAGGGU
RNAcentral lists this ribosomal RNA (835 nucleotides) under uncultured bacterium. RNAcentral describes it as "bacterial SSU rRNA". It matches the Rfam family "Bacterial small subunit ribosomal RNA", at positions 600 to 1436 of the family's 1533-position model. The record is from RNAcentral.